AGAAUGUACAGUGUCUGCAAUUUUACUAUUACAUAUCAGGGAGCGAAAAAUCAGGAGGAAGUUUGAUGACCAGCAUUUCCUCAACAGGAACUUCGAAACAGCAAAACAUUUGGCAGCGAUCUACCAAAGGUUUAGUCUGGGACGUUUGGACCGCAGUAGACGUGGCAUUCAAACAAACGGAAGAAUUCACGAUGAUGUUCACGUAUGCUCAAACGGCUGGAAAAGUCUACCAAAAGGUCACUUGCGCCAUUGAUAACAUCGAGCUACAUGACUGCGUGGGGAC
Long non-coding RNA from Rhipicephalus microplus (southern cattle tick), 283 nucleotides. Lineage: Eukaryota; Metazoa; Arthropoda; Arachnida; Ixodida; Ixodidae. The record is from RefSeq and is a predicted model, not a curated record.